AUAGAUAUGACACAGAACACCGAUAGCGAAGGCAGCUCACAAAAGUACAACUGACACUGAGGCACGAAAGCGUGGGUAUCAAACAGGAUUAGAUACCCUGGUAGUCCACGCUGUAAACGAUGAUCACUUAGCUGUUUGCGAUACAUUGUAAGUGGUUAAGCGAAAGCGAUAAGUGAUCCACCUGGGGAGUACGUCGGCAACGAUGAAACUCAAAGGAAUUGACGGGGGCCCGCACAAGCGGAGGAGCAUGUGGUUUAAUUCGAUGAUACGCGAGGAACCUUACCUGGGCUUGAACGUAUGGUGCAUGAGUGUGAAAGCACUCUUUCCUUCACAGGACUUCAUACGAGGUGCUGCAUGGUUGUCGUCAGCUCGUGCCGUGAGUUGUUAGGUUAAGUCCUGCAACGAGCGCAACCCCUGUUUUUAGUUGCCAGCAGGUUAUGCUGGGCACUCUAGAAAGACUGCCUGCGCAAGCAGAGAGGAAGGUGGGGAUGACGUCAAAUCAGCACGGCCCUUACGUCCAGGGCUACACACGUGCUACAAUGGUCGGCACAGAGGGUGGCUACCCGGCAACGGGAUGCUAAUCUCCAAAGUCGAUCUUAGUUCGGAUCGAAGUCUGCAACUCGACUUCGUGAAGUUGGAUUCGCUAGUAAUCGUAUAUCAGCCAUGAUACGGUGAAUACGUUCCCGGGCCUUGUACACACCGCCCGUCAAGCCAUGGAAGUUGG
RNAcentral lists this ribosomal RNA (724 nucleotides) under uncultured organism. RNAcentral's name for it is "bacterial SSU rRNA". It matches the Rfam family "Bacterial small subunit ribosomal RNA", at positions 690 to 1414 of the family's 1533-position model. The record is from RNAcentral.